Molecule: ribosomal RNA, 253 nt
Filed under: uncultured bacterium
Lineage: Bacteria
Description: partial 16S ribosomal RNA
Rfam family: Bacterial small subunit ribosomal RNA
Source: RNAcentral
GACGAGGCUCACGAACGUUAUUCGGAAUUACUGGGCUUAAAGGGUGCGUAGGCUGUGCGGAAAGUUGGGUGUGAAAUCCCUCGGCUCAACCGAGGAACUGCGCCCAAAACUACCGUACUCGAGGAAGAUAGAGGUGAGCGGAACUUACGGUGGAGCGGUGAAAUGCGUUGAUAUCGUAAGGAACACCCGUGGCGAAAGCGGCUCACUGGGUCUUUUCUGACGCUGAUGCACGAAAGCUAGGGGAGCAAACGGG